CACGUAGGGUGCGAGCGUUGUCCGGAAUUAUUGGGCGUAAAGAGCUCGUAGGCGGUGUGUCGCGUCGGCCGUGAAAACUUGCAGGCUUAACUGUGGGCGUGCGGUCGAUACGGGCAUCACUGGAGUUCGGCAGGGGAGACUGGAAUUCCUGGUGUAGCGGUGGGAAUGCGCAGAUAUCAGGAGGAACACCGGUGACGAAGGCGGGUCUCUGG
RNAcentral lists this ribosomal RNA (212 nucleotides) under uncultured bacterium. Its description in RNAcentral is "partial 16S ribosomal RNA". It matches the Rfam family "Bacterial small subunit ribosomal RNA", at positions 524 to 732 of the family's 1533-position model. The record is from RNAcentral.